GAUGAACGCUGGCGGCGUGCCUAAUACAUGCAAGUCGAGCGAACGGACGAGAAGCUUGCUUCUCUGAUGUUAGCGGCGGACGGGUGAGUAACACGUGUAUAACCUACCUAUAAGACUGGGAUCACUUCGGGAAACCGGAGCUAAUCCCGGAUGAUAUUUUGAACCGCAUGGUUCAAAAGUGAAUGUCGGUCUUGCUGUCACUUAUAGAUGGAUCUGCGCUGCAUUAGCUAGUUGGUAGGGUCACGGCUUACCACGGCAACGAGGCAUAGCCGACGUGAGAGGGUGAUCGGCCACAUGAGAGGGGAGACACGGACCAGACUCCUACGAGAGGCAGCAGUAGGGUAUGUGCCGCAAUAGGCGAGAGCCUGACAGAGCAACGCCGCGUGAGUGGUGAAGGUGUUCGGAGCGUAAAGAUCUGUUAUGAGGGAAGAACAGAUGUGGAAGUAACUGUGCACAGCUUGACGGUACCUGAUCAGAAAGCCACGGCUAACUACGUG
RNAcentral lists this ribosomal RNA (497 nucleotides) under uncultured bacterium. RNAcentral describes it as "partial 16S ribosomal RNA". It matches the Rfam family "Bacterial small subunit ribosomal RNA", at positions 28 to 507 of the family's 1533-position model. The record is from RNAcentral.